UACGGAGGGGGCCAGCGUUGUUCGGAAUUAUUGGGCGUAAAGGGCGCGUAGGCGGUCACGCAAGUCAGUUGUGAAAUCCCCUGGCUUACCCAGGGAACUGCUUCUGAAACUGCGUGGCUUGAGUCCGGGAGAGGAGAGUGGAAUUCCCAGUGUAGCGGUGGAAUGCGUAGAUAUUGGGAGGAACACCUGUGGCGAAGGCGGCUCUCUGGACCGGUACUGACGCUGAGGCGCGAAAGCUAGGGGAGCAAACAGG
Molecule: ribosomal RNA, 253 nt
Filed under: uncultured bacterium
Lineage: Bacteria
Description: partial 16S ribosomal RNA
Rfam family: Bacterial small subunit ribosomal RNA
Source: RNAcentral